RNAcentral lists this ribosomal RNA (1392 nucleotides) under Triticum aestivum (bread wheat). Its description in RNAcentral is "partial small subunit ribosomal RNA". Lineage: Eukaryota; Viridiplantae; Streptophyta; Magnoliopsida; Poales; Poaceae. The record is from RNAcentral.
AUGAGGUGCUACAAGGCACGAAGGAACAAGAAGGGUAAAGGUGUUGCGCCUGUCGUUCCGGAACGAAAGAGAUGUAUCAUUGUCAAGACGGAAUGCCCUGUCCGGUGUAAGCUGAACGUAGAUGGAGCACGGGGGGUGGUCACUGAAUAUUUUGACGAGCACAACCACGAACUCAUAAAGAAGUUUGACCUGGUAAAAUUUCUGACCGCCCACAGAGGAUUCACCCCCCUCGAGAAGAAAUUCAUAAAGCUGCUACAUGAUUGUAACGUCAGUCCAUCAAGAAUGGUCCAGAUACUGUCCCUCAUCCACAGCAAAAAUGGGACUCUGAGUAGCAUGCCGUACAUACCAGCAGACGUCACAAACCUAAAGGCAAAGUACCGUAGAGAGAGUAGGUUGGCUGACAUAGAAGACACGAUAGCCUACUUCGAUGAGAAAGCGAAAGAAGAUCCAGAUUUCUUCUACAGGAUAAGAUUGGAUGAUGAGGACCAUGUCAGGAACAUGUAUUGGGUGGAUGGUGCUGCAAGAAGAGCCUACAAACAUUUCCGAGAUUGCAUUUCGUUCGACGCGACAUAUCUCACUAAUAUGUACAAGAUGACAUGCGCUCCAUUCAUAGGAAUAAAUAACCACAAUCAGUCAUUGCAGUUCGGAUGCGGGCUCGUUCGAAACGAAGACACGGAUGGGUACACUUGGCUAUUCAAGACCUUCUUGGAGUGCAUGGGUGGACUUGCUCCGAUGAACAUAAUAAUAGACCAGGAUUUUAGCAUGCGUGCAGGCAUAGAGGAGGUCUUUCCGUUGGCAGUGCAUAGACACUGCAGGUGGCACAUUAUAAAGAAGGAUGAGGAGACGCUAGAGUUUGAACGGAGCUGGAUGGCUAUGAUUGAAACAUAUCACGUUCAAGACAACGAGAUGCUUGCUAGCCUGUGGGAGAAGCGAAUGUACUGGGUGCCGGCCUACUUCAUGCACUGCUUCUUCCCAUUUUUGCAGACUACGCAGCGCAGCGAGGGGUUCAAUGCUGUGUUGAAGCGGUACGUGAGCCCUGGCAACUCAUUGUUGCAGUUUGCCAAGCAAUACACGGCUUUGCAACAAAAAAUAAUGGGAUCUGAGCUACAGCAAGAAGCAAACACCGCGCUAAAGCAGCCUAAAUUGCUAACAUAUUUACCAAUGGUGGACGAACAUACGUUCAAGGGCAUGUCGGAUUCAGAACCUGAAGACCCAGACAAAGGAAGGAACUACUUUGUGAAGGCCUUGAUAAGCAAAGGCGAAUACUACUGCCAAUGCUGCAAAUUUGAACGGGACGGGAUUGUGUGCUGUCACAUACUAAAAGUAAAGGACAUGAACGCGGACACGAAUGCCCCGCCAUUUCAUACGGCAGCGAUGGACUUGGGACGUUGA